This 509-nucleotide ribosomal RNA is filed under the name uncultured bacterium. RNAcentral's name for it is "partial 16S ribosomal RNA". It matches the Rfam family "Bacterial small subunit ribosomal RNA", at positions 30 to 523 of the family's 1533-position model. The record is from RNAcentral.
AUUGAACGCUGGCGGCAUGCCUAACACAUGCAAGUCGAACGGCAGCACAGUCCGUAGCAAUACGGAUGGGUGGCGAGUGGCGGACGGGUGCGUAAUGUGUAGGGAUCUGCCCUGAAGUGGGGGACAACCCGGGGAAACUCGGGCUAAGACCGCAUAAUACUCUACGGAGGAAAUCUGGCUACGUAAGUAGCUGGAGCUUUAGGAUGAACCUACAUCCGAUUAGCUAGUUGGUGAGGUAAUGGCUCACCAAGGCGAUGAUCGGUAGCUGGGCUGAGAGGAUGACCAGCCACACUGGGACUGAGACACGGCCCAGACUCCUACGGGAGGCAGCAGUGGGGAAUAUUGGACAAUGGGGGAAACCCUGAUCCAGCAAUGCCGCGUGGGUGAAGAAGGCCUUCGGGUUGUAAAGCCCUUUAGGUGGGGAAGAAGGUUUUGGGGCGAUAAACCCUAGAAUUUGACGGUACCCACAGAAUAAGCACCGGCUAACUCUGUGCCAGCCGCCGCGGUAA